ACCAGAACCAUUAAAUAACGAUUUAUUGAAAUAAUACAUAUACAAUAUGCUAAACAAAUAAAUAUAAUAAUAAUAAUAUCCAUUUUGGCCUUGGGAAAUACGUAACAAUAAAACUAUAAAGCUUCAAGCUCAGCACGUUUUACAAAUGAAUGUCCAUAAUAAUAUACGGAAAUCUCAAAUAAACAUGGUGAAGGUAAAACAAAUCGAUCGUAGUUUCGAUCAUAUUAAAGAAAUAAACAAAGAAAAAUAUAUUUUUUUCAAUU
Molecule: long non-coding RNA, 263 nt
Organism: Apis dorsata (giant honeybee)
Lineage: Eukaryota; Metazoa; Arthropoda; Insecta; Hymenoptera; Apidae
Exons: 3
Source: RefSeq, a predicted model, not a curated record